This 24-nucleotide microRNA is filed under the name Drosophila melanogaster (fruit fly). RNAcentral's name for it is "dme-miR-2499-5p". Lineage: Eukaryota; Metazoa; Arthropoda; Insecta; Diptera; Drosophilidae. The record is from miRBase by way of RNAcentral.
CGUGCGUAGACGUCAGCGCAAUGC